Molecule: microRNA precursor, 206 nt
Filed under: Oryza sativa Indica Group (long-grained rice)
Lineage: Eukaryota; Viridiplantae; Streptophyta; Magnoliopsida; Poales; Poaceae
Description: MIR812 microRNA precursor family
Rfam family: MIR812 microRNA precursor family
Source: Rfam by way of RNAcentral
AAUAAGCACAGUCAUAAGUUUCCGCGCCCAACUUUGAUCGUCCGUCUUAUUUGAAAUUUUUUUAUAAUUAGUAUUUUUUGUUGUUAUGAGAUAAUAAAAUAUGAAUAGUACUUUACUCGUGACUUAUGUUUUUAAUUUUUUUUAAAAAAAUUAUAAAUAAGACGAACGGUUAAAGUUGGACGCGGAAAACUAUAGCUCUAUUUAUU